UGGACAAACCGGUCUAUCGCGUCCGCCACAUGGCUGAUGAGGAAAGUCCGGGCAACACAGGGUAGUGCACCCCGAUAACUUCGGGGGAUUGAUACUGUAAGGUAUCAAGACAGCAAGUGUAGCAGAAAAUAACAUCCUGUUUUCGGACAGGGAAUGGUGAAAACGUGGGGUAAGAGCCUACGCGUGUCAGUGGUAACACUGUCAUGGUACAAACCUUGCACGUUGAAAGACCAAGUAAACCCGGGAAUUGAGGCGACCCGUCUCAUGCUUCGGCGGCCCGGGAGGGUAGGUUGAUGGAUCUAGUUGGCAACAACUAGACAAGAUAAAUGAUAGACGCCGCCUUAUGCGGUACAGAACCCGGCUUACAGGUUUGUCCUUAAU
RNAcentral lists this RNase P RNA (381 nucleotides) under bacterium. RNAcentral describes it as "RNase P RNA component class A". It matches the Rfam family "Bacterial RNase P class A". From Rfam's summary of the family: Ribonuclease P (RNase P) is a ubiquitous endoribonuclease, found in archaea, bacteria and eukarya as well as chloroplasts and mitochondria. The record is from RNAcentral.